UUACAACAUUUUAUCCUUCCAUAUUUGUGCUAAUAAAGUUCUGUAGCAUUUUGAGACCAGAUGGAUGGUGGCGACUGCGAGGCAGAAGGCUUAUCACAUUGGAAGUCAAAGUGCUUCAUGUAACAGUUCAAUGGCGUGGACAGCAACAACAGAUGGCUGAUUAUGUUCGUGGUUUCUUCACCUAGAUCUUGUACCCUUCUCGUUCAUGUAACUUGGGGACAAUCUCUCUUUUGCCUCUGUGGGCAAAAUAAUCCGUCUCUGCAACA
Nymphaea colorata (pocket water lily) is the source of this 266-nucleotide long non-coding RNA. RefSeq lists it as uncharacterized. The record is from RefSeq and is a predicted model, not a curated record. The transcript is spliced from 2 exons. NCBI's taxonomy places the organism in Eukaryota, Viridiplantae, Streptophyta, Magnoliopsida, Nymphaeales, Nymphaeaceae.